UCCAGGGUCCAAAACUUGUUGCUUAUGCCAGGCAAUUUUAGCCUAAAGUCAACAAAAUCACAAGUAUUUCAGUUUACCCCGAGAGAAGGAAAGAGAAAUGAAGACCCAAAGCUUAUUCAACUGUUUCUCCUUUUAUUUGUUAUAAAACCAACAGCCUCUCUAAAGAACAUAAGUUUUUAAAAUAUUUUGCCUUCUUUCUCUGUGAUGUAACUAAGUAAAAAU
Long non-coding RNA from Pipistrellus kuhlii (Kuhl's pipistrelle), 222 nucleotides. RefSeq lists it as uncharacterized. The record is from RefSeq and is a predicted model, not a curated record. Lineage: Eukaryota; Metazoa; Chordata; Mammalia; Chiroptera; Vespertilionidae. The transcript is spliced from 2 exons.